Long non-coding RNA from Sinocyclocheilus rhinocerous, 867 nucleotides. Lineage: Eukaryota; Metazoa; Chordata; Actinopteri; Cypriniformes; Cyprinidae. The record is from Ensembl.
CGAGUGCCACAAUAACUUCAGAUACACUCCUUCAUGAGUCCAAAGAUCAGUUCUCUCCACCUGAAUUGAUUUGUGAACAUUCACAAUGCCAGGUAUCCCAAGUGGGCGGCUCAACUGAAACAAGCCUCUUCAAUGUGGUCAACGAGCUGGAAUCUAAAGAGUUGCCUCUUGUUGAUCAGACCACUUCAGUGACUGCAGUUGACACAGUGGAGGUCAUAUCAGAAAAUAACGAUCAAAACAAUGAUUCAGAACCAUUGAAAUCUCAACAGAUUGAAAUGGGUGUUUCUACUGAAGAAGCCAAGAUCACAAACCCAGAACAAGAUCCUUCUUCUCCUGGGUCUACAACAGCAAAUGACCAAUCAGAUGUUGACCAGAAGAGCAUUCCAGUGGUAGAUGCUUCAAACGAUCCUGGAAAUAGAAGAUAUCAGUCGUCCUUUGCAUGGGACACAUUUAUGAAAGGGAAAAAGAUGCCACAUACAACACCGUUAAGAACUGAGCUGUGGUCCUCUGGAUUUCAUGAGCUUGUUUCUCCAUUUUGUGCUCCCAUAUUUAUGAAGAAUAAAUUGCCAAAAACAGCCAUAAUGAAGACUCCUGACAGACUGGAAACCCCAAGCAAGCGUCAAGGAGAGUGGAAUGCUAUCAAGCAGUCUUUUUCUGAAAUGUUAACAGAGAAAGAGAAUCAAGUUCUUAUCUCCUACAGCUCGACUCUGAGUGGCAGUCCAACCUCUUCUUCUGUGGGUAAUGGGCUGCGACAAAACUCCACUCCUACCGUUCCUCCUCCCAAACUCCAGAGCGUGGAGAAACCGACCCGGCCUAUGGCAUCUAGUUCUGAAAGAAAAGAAGAACGAAAACAAUCUGACAUAAUGG